This 568-nucleotide long non-coding RNA is filed under the name Jatropha curcas. Its description in RNAcentral is "long non-coding RNA (JCUR_LNC001199)". The record is from RNAcentral. Lineage: Eukaryota; Viridiplantae; Streptophyta; Magnoliopsida; Malpighiales; Euphorbiaceae.
UCAAAUUUGACUUUGGCACUUAAAGUAAACACCACAACACUUAUUUCUUUCUUCUCUUCUCCUUAUCCACGCCAUCUCCAUCUUCUUCCUCUUUCUUUCAUUUCUUCAUUUUCUUACCUCCAAAUUUACCACCAAACUACCUAAUUAAAUCAUAGAUUAGUACUUAAUUCUUAAGAAUUAAGAAGUAGAAGUUGAGUUUGGUGAUUAAAACCAAAGAGAAGUGAAGUUACCAUUGAAGCAAGUAAGUUGUGGUUUUUGAGUUUUGUGAAUUGUUAAGUAGAAUUCAUGGUUUAGACAUGUUAUUGAUGCAUUAAAUCAUGCUCCAACUAUUUCUUUUGUCAAGUUUUGCUUGUAAUGUUGAUUUUUCAUGCUUUGAAGAGGUUGGAGAACCAUCCUCAAAGGGGAAAGAGAAAGCCAAGGAGUAAGGCUUUCCAAGCUUAUUCAAGCUUGUUAAUAAGGUUAGUGCAAUCAUAAUUUCACUUGUUUAAGUUGUUUUUACAUGGUUAGGGUUUUGAAUAUAUUUUGGGAACUUUGUAUGUUUUGUUGAAAUUGCUGAAUUUUAAUGUGA